GCCUUCGUCGUGUAAUGGUCAGCACACUUGGUGUUGACCGAGAGGUCCGAGGUUCGAGUCCCGGCGAGGGCA
RNAcentral lists this transfer RNA (72 nucleotides) under Stegodyphus mimosarum. It matches the Rfam family "tRNA". From Rfam's summary of the family: Transfer RNA (tRNA) molecules are approximately 80 nucleotides in length. Their secondary structure includes four short double-helical elements and three loops (D, anti-codon, and T loops). Further hydrogen bonds mediate the characteristic L-shaped molecular structure. tRNAs have two regions of fundamental functional importance: the anti-codon, which is responsible for specific mRNA codon recognition, and the 3' end, to which the tRNAs corresponding amino acid is attached (by aminoacyl-tRNA synthetases). tRNAs cope with the degeneracy of the genetic code in two manners: having more than one tRNA (with a specific anti-codon) for a particular amino acid; and 'wobble' base-pairing, i.e. permitting non-standard base-pairing at the 3rd anti-codon position. The record is from Rfam by way of RNAcentral. Lineage: Eukaryota; Metazoa; Arthropoda; Arachnida; Araneae; Eresidae.